Molecule: ribosomal RNA, 505 nt
Filed under: Tetanocera montana
Lineage: Eukaryota; Metazoa; Arthropoda; Insecta; Diptera; Sciomyzidae
Description: partial 16S ribosomal RNA
Rfam family: Bacterial large subunit ribosomal RNA
Source: RNAcentral
GUCCUUUCGAGAUAAAUUUAAGGUCUAACCUGCCCACUGAAUUUUAAAUGGCCGCAGUACUCUAACUGUGCAAAGGUAGCAUAAUAAUUAGUCUUUUAAUUGAAGGCUGGAAUGAAUGGUUGAACGAGAUAUUUUCUGUUUCAUAUAAAUUUACAUUAGAACUUUAUUUUUCAGUAAAAAAGCUGAAAUAACUUUAAAAGACGAGAAGACCCUAUAAAUCUUUACACUUUACAAAAUUUAUUAAACUAGAAUCUUUAUAAAAAGUUUUUAUAAGUGUUUUAUUGGGGUGAUAUUAAAAUUUAACAAACUUUUAAUUUAUUGUACAUUUAUUUAUGAAUGAUUGAUCCGUUUACACGAUUAGUAAAUUAAGUUACUUUAGGGAUAACAGCGUAAUUUUUUUGGAGAGUUCAUAUCGAUAAAAAAGAUUGCGACCUCGAUGUUGGAUUAAGGAAUAAGUUUAGGCGCAGCCGUUUAAAUAGUAAGUCUGUUCGACUUUUAAAUCCUU